UACGAAGGGUGCAAGCGUUAAUCGGAAUUACUGGGCGUAAGGCGCGCGUAGGUGGUUCGUUAAGUUAGGAGUGAAAGCCCCGGGCUCAACCUGGGAAUUGCUUCUAAAACUGGCGAGCUAGAGUAUGGUAGAGGGUGGUGGAAUUUCCUGUGUAGCGGUGAAAUGCGUAGAUAUAGGAAGGAACAUCAGUGGCGAAGGCGACCACCUGGACUGAUACUGACACUGAGGUGCGAAAGCGUGGGGAGCAAACAGGAUUAGAUACCCCGGUAGUCCCUGAG
RNAcentral lists this ribosomal RNA (278 nucleotides) under uncultured prokaryote. RNAcentral describes it as "partial 16S ribosomal RNA". It matches the Rfam family "Bacterial small subunit ribosomal RNA", at positions 524 to 801 of the family's 1533-position model. The record is from RNAcentral.